UGACUUUGGACUGAAUUCUGUCAUCUCUACCGUUAAAAUGAUAUAUAAAAAUAUAUUAACCUGACUCGCAAAAUAGUGUCCAUGUUUAUAUGGUGAGGAGUAUCAAACAAAUGGUAUCAUUGUCAUCUGAUGGGAGUAAUUGGUGUAAUCGGACUCUGUCAUGAUUCUGUCAUAUUGGUGUUAUAUAUUUGUGUUAAAUAUAUUAUUUUAAAAAAAUAAACU
RNAcentral lists this long non-coding RNA (222 nucleotides) under Brassica napus (rape). Its description in RNAcentral is "long non-coding RNA (BNAP_LNC011521)". Lineage: Eukaryota; Viridiplantae; Streptophyta; Magnoliopsida; Brassicales; Brassicaceae. The record is from RNAcentral.